RNAcentral lists this long non-coding RNA (1099 nucleotides) under Trifolium pratense (red clover). Its description in RNAcentral is "long non-coding RNA (TPRA_LNC007262)". Lineage: Eukaryota; Viridiplantae; Streptophyta; Magnoliopsida; Fabales; Fabaceae. The record is from RNAcentral.
AUUAAAUGACUAAAAGAUAACUAAAAAAAAAAAAGAAGAGUACAGGGUAUGAUAGUGUAAGACAGAAGAACAUAGGAUAAUAUAAGACAGAAUAGUACAUGACAGUAUAACACAAAACAGUACAAAUGUUUAAGGUAUUGAAUAAAUUGUUUGGUGCACAAAAAGGUUAUUUUGGUGUUUUAGACAACUUGUGUAGAUGACAAAAAAUUGUCUCGUGGUUCAGUGGGGAUAAGAAUAUCUCUUUUUGUUCGGUCUUUUGACCUUCAGUUUGUCCAGUCCCAAGAACAAUUUAAAAUCAAACACAGUACAAUUGAAUUUUUCAUGUCCAAUCCUAAUUUUGGUACGAUGUUUGGUGGACAAAAGAUUAUUUUGGUAUUUUAAACAACUUAUACAGAAGACAAAAAGUUGUCAUGUGGUUCACUGGGAACAAGAAUUUCAGGUUUUGUCCGGUCUCUUAGCUCCAUUUUGUCUAAUUCCAAAACGGUUUUGAAAUAAAAACAAUAUAGCUGAAAUUGUCAUGUUCGAUCCUUAAUUUUUAGCGGAUGAAACACGUAAUGAUAAUCACGGUGUCUUAUAUAUUUAUGGGCCAAAUUAGUUGUUUAGCCGUGCCAAAAAGACUUUAUCCCAUGAGAUUAUGAUCGUAAAUUUGUGGUUUACAAAUCUUGUGUAUUGCUAAUUGAUAGAGUCUCUUCUAUUUCAUUACCAUAUCCAUAAAGAUAUGAAGUAUUGACUUAUAAAUUUGGUUCAUCAAAGGCUAUAUCGUAAACACUUUUUAUACACACUUCAUAUUUUUUAGGAUAUGUAUCUAAUCUAAAUCUAAGUGUAUCCACGUAAUAUCGAUAUCCAAUACUGAUAAAUCACCAAUUUUAUGGUGUGUUUGAUUUUAAGGAAAGAACGAGAAAAUGAAGGAAAAUACGAAAAUCAAUAAAUAAAUUUAGACUAAACCGUAGUCCAAGUUCAUAUCGGAGGCAUUUGAGUAUAUAACUUAAUGACUCAAUUCCUUUUAGGUACUUAAAUUUAUUUUUAGAUUCAAGUUGUUCCUUGAUGUUAAAAAGUGUCAAUGUAGUCGGUCAAUCGUAAUGUGUUUUUAUUUUGGUCA